Molecule: ribosomal RNA, 1134 nt
Filed under: Promicromonospora sp.
Lineage: Bacteria; Bacillati; Actinomycetota; Actinomycetes; Micrococcales; Promicromonosporaceae
Description: bacterial SSU rRNA
Rfam family: Bacterial small subunit ribosomal RNA
Source: RNAcentral
GGACUGAGACCCGGCCCAGAUUCCUACGGGAGGCAGCAGUGGGGAAUAUUGCCCAAUGGGCGAAAGCCUGAUGCAGCGACGCCACCUGAGGGAUGACGGCCUUCGGGUUGUAAACCUCUUUCAGCAGGGAAGAAGCGAAAGUGACGGUACCUGCAGAAGAAGCGCCGGCUAACUACGUGCCAGCAGCCGCGGUAAUACGUAGGGCGCAAGCGUUGUCCGGAAUUAUUGGGCGUAAAGAGCUCGUAGGCGGUCUGUCGCGUCUGGUGUGAAAUCCCAUGGCUCAACUGUGGGCUUGCAUCGGGUACGGGCAGACUAGAGUGCUGUAGGGGAGACUGGAAUUCCUGGUGUAGCGGUGGAAUGCGCAGAUAUCAGGAGGAACACCGAUGGCGAAGGCAGGUCUCUGGGCAGUUACUGACGCUGAGGAGCGAAAGCAUGGGGAGCGAACAGGAUUAGAUACCCUGGUAGUCCAUGCCGUAAACGUUGGGCACUAGGUGUGGGGCGGGUUCCACUCGUUCUGUGCCGUAGCUAACGCAUUAAGUGCCCCGCCUGGGGAGUACGGCCGCAAGGCUAAAACUCAAAGGAAUUGACGGGGGCCCGCACAAGCGGCGGAGCAUGCGGAUUAAUUCGAUGCAACGCGAAGAACCUUACCAAGGCUUGACAUGUACGAGAACGCGUUAGAGAUAACGAACUCUUUGGACACUCGUACACAGGUGGUGCAUGGUUGUCGUCAGCUCGUGUCGUGAGAUGUUGGGUUAAGUCCCGCAACGAGCGCAACCCUUAUCCUAUGUUGCCAGCGGGUUAUGCCGGGGACUCAUGGGAGACUGCCGGGGUCAACUCGGAGGAAGGUGGGGAUGACGUCAAAUCAUCAUGCCCCUUAUGUCUUGGGCUUCACGCAUGCUACAAUGGCCGGUACAGAGGGUUGCGAUACCGUGAGGUGGAGCGAAUCCCAAAAAGCCGGUCUCAGUUCGGAUCGGGGUCUGCAACUCGACCCCGUGAAGUCGGAGUCGCUAGUAAUCGCAGAUCAGCAACGCUGCGGUGAAUACGUUCCCGGGCCUUGUACACACCGCCCGUCAAGUCACGAAAGUUGGUAACACCCGAAGCUCACGGCCCAACCCGCAAGGGAGGGAGUGGUCG